GGCGGGGUUUUCAGUUUUCAAAUGCGCCGGGCGGGCGGGAAAGGCGGCCGAUUUACUGACCCGGAGGAGAAAGACAAGAAAGUAAAGGCUCCCGGCCAAGACUCUGCUGAAGCUUCCAACUGCAAAACCUAGUUGAGACUGGGACAUUGAGGAGCAUCAAGAUUCUCCCUGCUGACCAUCCACCCUGCAACCCAGCUCCCCCAAGACCAGGGAACAAAGUCAAAUCUAAGAACACAGACUCUUAAGCCAGACAGUUAGAAGUUUCAAUGUGAGGUGACCCCCCUUUCCUAGAUAUGUGACAUCUUAUCCCUCUGACCUCAGUUACCCCAUCAACAAGCGAG
Molecule: long non-coding RNA, 341 nt
Organism: Manis javanica (Malayan pangolin)
Lineage: Eukaryota; Metazoa; Chordata; Mammalia; Pholidota; Manidae
Source: RefSeq, a predicted model, not a curated record